RNAcentral lists this ribosomal RNA (254 nucleotides) under uncultured bacterium. RNAcentral describes it as "partial 16S ribosomal RNA". It matches the Rfam family "Bacterial small subunit ribosomal RNA", at positions 524 to 776 of the family's 1533-position model. The record is from RNAcentral.
UACGUAGGGCGCAAGCGUUGUCCGGAAUUAUUGGGCGUAAAGAGCUCGUAGGCGGUGUGUCGCGUCGGUCGUGAAAACUUGGGGCUUAACCCUGAGCUUGCGGUCGAUACGGGCAUCACUGGAGUUCGGCAGGGGAGACUGGAAUUCCUGGUGUAGCGGUGAAAUGCGCAGAUAUCAGGAGGAACACCGGUGGCGAAGGCGGGUCUCUGGGCCGAUACUGACGCUGAGGAGCGAAAGCGUGGGGAGCGAACAGG